This 202-nucleotide small nucleolar RNA is filed under the name Mastacembelus armatus (zig-zag eel). RNAcentral's name for it is "Small nucleolar RNA SNORA74 (ENSMAMG00000001779.2)". It matches the Rfam family "Small nucleolar RNA SNORA74". Rfam says of the family: U19 belongs to the H/ACA class of snoRNAs. snoRNAs bind a number of proteins (including dyskerin, Gar1p and Nop10p in the case of the H/ACA class) to form snoRNP complexes. This class are thought to guide the sites of modification of uridines to pseudouridines by forming direct base pairing interactions with substrate RNAs. The record is from Rfam by way of RNAcentral. Lineage: Eukaryota; Metazoa; Chordata; Actinopteri; Synbranchiformes; Mastacembelidae.
CCCAGCUCUCAGUCAGCUGACCAGGCGGUGUAUGUCUGGCUCAGUGUUACAGUGCUGGUAGAGGAAGUCUCUGUACUUGGUCCCAGCUUAGCAGGCUCUGUUUUAGAGUCUGCUCCUGCUGAGCUGCUGCAGAGCGUGGCCCCAACGAGAGUGGCCUGUCCUGACUCCACAGCAGGACAGGCCUAGUACAGGGCUGCACACC